GGGCCACUAGCUCAAUUGGCAGAGCGUCGGACUUUUAAUCCGCUGGUUCUGGGUUCGAGUCCCAGGUGGCCCACCA
This 76-nucleotide transfer RNA is filed under the name Acidimicrobiales bacterium. RNAcentral's name for it is "tRNA-Lys". It matches the Rfam family "tRNA". From Rfam's summary of the family: Transfer RNA (tRNA) molecules are approximately 80 nucleotides in length. Their secondary structure includes four short double-helical elements and three loops (D, anti-codon, and T loops). Further hydrogen bonds mediate the characteristic L-shaped molecular structure. tRNAs have two regions of fundamental functional importance: the anti-codon, which is responsible for specific mRNA codon recognition, and the 3' end, to which the tRNAs corresponding amino acid is attached (by aminoacyl-tRNA synthetases). tRNAs cope with the degeneracy of the genetic code in two manners: having more than one tRNA (with a specific anti-codon) for a particular amino acid; and 'wobble' base-pairing, i.e. permitting non-standard base-pairing at the 3rd anti-codon position. Lineage: Bacteria; Bacillati; Actinomycetota; Acidimicrobiia; Acidimicrobiales. The record is from RNAcentral.